CGUGAGCAAUCUGCCCAUACCAGGGGAAUAACACAUAGAAAUGUGUGCUAAUACCGCAUAAGACCACAGAGAGGCAUCUCUCAGUGGUAAAAGAUUUAUCGGGUAUGGAUGAGCUCGCGUCCCAUUAGAUAGUUGGUGAGGUAACGGCCCACCAAGUCUGCGAUGGGUAGCCGACCUGAGAGGGUGAUCGGCCACAUUGGAACUGAGAAACGGUCCAG
This 218-nucleotide ribosomal RNA is filed under the name uncultured bacterium. RNAcentral's name for it is "partial 16S ribosomal RNA". It matches the Rfam family "Bacterial small subunit ribosomal RNA", at positions 116 to 334 of the family's 1533-position model. The record is from RNAcentral.